GGUGUAGGCGGCUUGGCAAGUGUCGUGUGAAAUCCCACGGCUCAACCGUGGAACUGCACGGCAAACUGCCCGGCUUGAGGUCGGUAGAGGUGCCUGGAACUCUUGGUGGAGCGGUGAAAUGCGUAGAUAUCAAGAGGAACGCCGGAGGCGAAAGCGGGGCACUGGGCCGAUUCUGACGCUGAGACCCGAAAGCGUGGGGAGCAAACA
Molecule: ribosomal RNA, 207 nt
Filed under: uncultured bacterium
Lineage: Bacteria
Description: partial 16S ribosomal RNA
Rfam family: Bacterial small subunit ribosomal RNA
Source: RNAcentral